AAAAAUUUAGUUAAACCCCAUAACAUUAGCUUGUCAAGCUAAAAUUGUUAGAUUAAACCUAACAAUUUUUA
This is a non-coding RNA of Aethina tumida (small hive beetle), 71 nucleotides long. The record is from the annotation of a RefSeq genome assembly. Lineage: Eukaryota; Metazoa; Arthropoda; Insecta; Coleoptera; Nitidulidae.